UACAGAGGUGGCAAGCGUUGUUCGGAAUUACUGGGCGUAAAGGGCGCGUAGGCGGCCCUCUAAGUCAGACGUGAAAUCCCCCGGCUUAACCUGGGAACUGCGUCUGAUACUGGAGGGCUUGAGUAUGGGAGAGGGAUGUAGAAUUCCAGGUGUAGCGGUGAAAUGCGUAGAUAUCAGGAGGAACACCGAUGGCGAAGGCAGCACUCUGGGCCGGUACUGACGCUGAGGAGCGAAAGCGUGGGGAGCAAACAGG
RNAcentral lists this ribosomal RNA (253 nucleotides) under uncultured bacterium. RNAcentral's name for it is "partial 16S ribosomal RNA". It matches the Rfam family "Bacterial small subunit ribosomal RNA", at positions 524 to 776 of the family's 1533-position model. The record is from RNAcentral.